Molecule: ribosomal RNA, 328 nt
Filed under: uncultured eukaryote
Lineage: Eukaryota
Description: partial 18S ribosomal RNA
Rfam family: Eukaryotic small subunit ribosomal RNA
Source: RNAcentral
CCCUUAGAUGUCCGGGGCCGCACGCGCGCUACACUGAAGGAAUCAGCGUGGCUUUCUCCCUGACCCGAAAGGGUUGGGAAACCCGUUGAAUCUCCUUCGUGAUAGGGAUUGGGGCUUGAAAUUGUUCCCCAUGAACGAGGAAUUCCCAGUAAGCGCGAGUCAUAAGCUCGCGUUGAUUACGUCCCUGCCCUUUGUACACACCGCCCGUCGCUCCUACCGAUUGGAUGGUCCGGUGAACUGGUCGGACUGAUAAUUGUCACUGCGGGUGCAGUAGCAUUACGGAAAGUCCGGUGAACCUUAUCAUCUAGAGGAAGGAGAAGUCGUAACA